This 108-nucleotide ribosomal RNA is filed under the name Haniffia santubongensis. RNAcentral describes it as "partial 18S ribosomal RNA". It matches the Rfam family "Eukaryotic small subunit ribosomal RNA", at positions 1727 to 1831 of the family's 1831-position model. The record is from RNAcentral. Lineage: Eukaryota; Viridiplantae; Streptophyta; Magnoliopsida; Zingiberales; Zingiberaceae.
UGGUUCGCCCACUCGCGACGUCUUGAGAAGUCCAUUGAACCUUAUCAUUUAGAGGAAGGAGAAGUCGUAACAAGGUUUCCGUAGGUGAACCUGCGGAAGGAUCAUUGU